GACGAACGCUGGCGGCGUGCUUAACACAUGCAAGUCGAACGGAAAGGCCCUGCUUUUGUGGGGUGCUCGAGUGGCGAACGGGUGAGUAACACGUGAGUAACCUGCCCUUGACUUUGGGAUAUCUUCAGGAAACUGGGGCUAAUACCGGAUAGGAGCUCCUGCUGCAUGGUGGGGGUUGGAAAGUUUCGGCGGUUGGGGAUGGACUCGCGGCUUAUCAGCUUGUUGGUGGGGUAGUGGCUUACCAAGGCUUUGCCGGGUAGCCGACCUGAGAGGGUGACCGCGCACAUUGGGACUGAGAGACGGCGCAGACUCCUACGGGAGACAGCGGUGGGGAGUAUUGCACAGUGGGCGGGAGCCUGAGGCGGCGACGCCGCGUGCGUAAUGACGUCCUUCGGGUUGUGAACCGCUUUCGCCUGUGACGAAGCGUGAGUGACGGUAAUGGGUGAAGAAGCACCGGCUAACUACGUG
RNAcentral lists this ribosomal RNA (468 nucleotides) under uncultured bacterium. RNAcentral's name for it is "partial 16S ribosomal RNA". It matches the Rfam family "Bacterial small subunit ribosomal RNA", at positions 28 to 507 of the family's 1533-position model. The record is from RNAcentral.